UACACACAGAGCUCUGAACUAGCCAGAAUGUGAGUAGCUAUUGUUCAGUGAAAAGAAACCCUUCUUUGAAAGAGCUUCUGUGAAGAGAGCUGUGUAUCGUGCUGCAGAGGAAGGCAGGCACUAGUGACACAGAGGGAGCUGGCGAGGUCGGGAAGAUUAUGUGCUGGGAGACACAGUACACAGUCUUACUGUGGGAAACUGCAGCAGGUCUGUGGAAUCCUUAACAGAAAAUACGGGAGUAGAGAUCAGCCUUGAAGAUAUUAAGAUUUACCCUUGAGAAGGAUGGGAGUAAAGGAGUAUCCGGAGAAGCAGCUCUGAAGGUGAGAUGCAGAAGUCAAAAUGGAUGGCAAUCCAGGAAGUGAAUUCCUGUCUUCAGGGGUCAUGAAAAUUGAGUGAACCCUCCCACCAAACAAACCACAAAGUUAAUAGAUCUCUUGAAAAAGAGUUCUCAUUUCCAUUGUGUCUGGCCAUCUCAUCCAGAGGGAGAAUAAAAGCAGGAGCGUUGAGGAAGAAGGUGCAGUGAAGAAGAAAGAGGAAGAGAAGUCUGUCCUAUUAAAAAUCCUAACCAAAUAUACUCAUAGUGUUGCAGGUAUUUGGUAAUCCUGGGUAAUAAUAGUGUUUAAAUAAAAACUGUGGUAAAGUAUUUUAGACAACACUAUGCAUGUAGAUCUGGAGCUGUGUGCUCUAAAUGAUGAACCUGAAGAGCAAAGACACUCUUGGUCCAGUUAUUGAUUUGUAGCUCUCUGCAUUCAAACAGAUAUGACAAAGAAUGUAUCAAGUAGUUGUGUUCAUCACCCAUCAUGUACAACUGCCUGAUGCAGUUGUUUAGUGCAAAAAUCAAUUACAUUUUCUAGCUUCUAUUUAUCUAAUUGUGCUGUUAACAGACAGUGAAAUAAAUCCAAAUUGUGAUUUUUAGACAGAGAUGACUGCAUACGGAGACAAAGCAGUAAAGGUAGCUAAUAAAAGUUUAGGUAGUCUCAGCAGCCAGUGAAGUAUUAAUGCUCAUCAUUCACACAGCUUUGGUUUGGUACAUUACUGACAAGUUUAAAAGAGUUAUUAAUGCUUUAUUUAAUACUUCCCAGAGACAUUUACAAGGUUGUUAGGUUGGCAUUUGGUCAAUUUUGACUCACACCUGGAACCUGAACAGGUUGAAGACAACCAAGUUGGACUUGGUCAGUUUAAUUACUGAGUUAUCUAGAUUUCAUACUUGUAUAAGGUGUGUUUGUAUCAAGAGUGAUCAGUGACUCUUUAUUCAGUAAAAAUACAAGACUACUUUCCCUUGUAAAAAACCCUGAAGUUUUGUUUAAAUGUAAUACAAAGCCUUCCAAUUAUCUAUUCCAAAUAUUGGCAACUGGCAAUACUGCAGCAUAUAUUUGGUUUGAUAUGGUUUGCACUAAAAAAUAAAUUGUCUACAGUGAGUAUGUUAGGACAUAUAUUUUGUGCACAAAUAAGAAUGAACUGAUCUUCUAAUUCCUGGCUGGAAAUGCUGUUCCAUCCCCCCACCUCAUCACCCCCCUGAAAAAUAGCAACAAGAGUCUUUGAACCCCACCUACUGACAGAUGUACAUGUUUGGCCUCAGGUCACCAAUGUUUCUUGUCCAUCUGUUUGGGUGGCACUGUGUUUAAUCACAAGCUACACAAAACCCUCCACAAAAGUAUCAUGGUUUGGCAAAAAUAAGUUUGGAAAAACAUUUUGUAUUAGCAUUUCAUAUUUUCCUCUAUGCUAGCAAUGUCUGUAAGUAGGUUCCUCCUGCAUUUGAUCACAGCUGUUCAGACCUUAGCCAAACUCUAUUAAAUGAUCAAGAGAAAAGGAAAAUAGUUCAUAGACAGUCGAGCCUUGUGCAACAGCAUGGAUAACAGUGGGUGUUUGAGAAAGUCACAAUUCAGGUUUUGACUUUAAUAUAGAACUCCUCCCUUAGAAGUUGAUGCCAUUCACUUCACAGUGCAAACCCUCACACAUUGCCAGGAAAAGAAAAAAAAAAGAAGAACUGUAAAAAAUGUGUGAGAUAACUAAUUAGCAUAAAAGUAAGGAGCAGUUCUUAGGCUAUAGCAUCUGCAGAAAUAAGGUGUGAUACAUCAUUUCAAAAGGGUUAAAGGAAAUAAGGAUCUGUGCUUUUCAAAGAUAACUGGCUAUUUUUCCUCUACCACUAGGAAUUUUGCCAACAAAGGAUAUUUAAAGAAAAAAAAAAUACUCAAGUGUUUAUCUGAAAAAACAUGCCAAGAUUUCAUUCUUUCAUGUUAAAAUCCUAAAUAACUUCAUCCUUCAAAAUUUGCAUGAAGGAAAGCUAACUGAGUUCCACUGCUCUAUAUGUUAUGAUGGUAGAAGCUGAAUUGGCUAAAUCAGGUGUUCUAUUGCCAUGUUUUAGAAAGCAUUUUAUGAAAGAUGAGUUGCUAUACAAAAUCAAAUUUUAUCUCAGCCUGAAAAAUAUUUGUUCCAUAGCCUCCUGCAACAGUUAAUCUAGCUUCCUUGGAGAAAUUAUAUGGCCUUCCUUUAAGACUAUUACUGCCACAAUAAAGAAUAUCUCAUAUUUAAUUAGAAAAGUGAUAAGGCUUUAGGAAGGCUUUGAACACCAUUGAAUUUUCAUAUCUUAGUGUUGAAAAAACAAUACAGGUCCUUUGUACAGUAAGAGAACCUAUCCCAAUGGUUUUGCAUGGAAAGAAUUAAUAAUCAUAGCUUCAGGCUUCAGGAAUUAACUAAGAAUGUUUCUCAGAGUCCUGAACAGGAUGCCAUUACCAGCUGAAAAAGAGUUAAAACCAUUCUGAGACUUCAACACAGGAGAGAUGCUAAAGAGAGUUGGAGUUUUUGCUAUGCUUACAGUCUCUGUAAGAUGUAUUGAGAGGUUCUUAACAGAAUUUGACUGAGAGAUGUGGUAUGGGAGUGGGACAUGAGGCCUUUUGUUUUGAAGAAUAUUACUUAAAUAACUCCCAAUUUUUUUCUUUUUUUUUUAAAGAGCAUACUUGUAGAUACCUCAUUAAUAUGGAAAAUCAAUUAACAAACAUUUUAAUCUUGUUCUUUUUCCAGUUCUUCCUAGUAUUUUAUGAAUUGGAUUGAUAAUGCUAUUAUAGGACAUCUAGUACUUAAGUAUAUUUUAAAUAAAACACUUAAAAUAGUACAGUUGAAACAGCAAUUAUUCUAGCAAUCUAAUAUUUCAUGUGAAAUUCAUUAAUGCUUUCAUUACGUGAUUGAGCCCAAAACAUUGAAGUAAGAACAAUUUGGCAGCAUUUUUGCAUGAUAUGCCUCUGCUUAAAAUGUCAGUCCAGUUGAAAUUGAAAAAAAAUCUUUGGGGUGGUAAGGAGGCUGAAAGACUCACAAAUGAAAACAGGAGGUUUUGGAGCCCAUUAAAAAAAAGUCUCUUGAUUUCCUAAUAAAACAUUAGAUGAUGUUGUGACUUCUUUUCUUUGCUUAGUUUAAUAAAUCAGCACAUUAAAUAUACUGAAAAAAACCUAGAAAUGUUUCACCAUGUCCUGUUUGUUAUCCUAAAGUAAUAAGUCACCAAUAAAAAAUAUGCUAAGGGUGCUUGGAUAAGCUCAUAUAAACAUUUUUUUUUUCUUGAUGUAACUCAUUCUUUUCCCACUUGAAAUGGUGCUGAUGUAAAAUGUUAUGAUUGAGAAGUUGCUCACUUGGGAAUGAGAAUUAACUUUCAGUGUUUAAUUUUGUAUUUCUGAAAUUAUUUUUUCUAGAGAAGAGAUUUCAGGUGAUCUAAUGCAAAGUUCCUGAGCCAUUUUCUAUGGUUUAGUCAUAUAAUAGUAUGUAUGUCUUGUGUAGUCACAAAAACAUAUGACAUAUUUCGUGAGCUAUUCCAUCUUUGUGAAGUUCAUACCUUUAAUGUUACGCUGAAAGGUGAACUAGAUAAGAGGGGUGAUCAGAGCUCUUUUUAUCAGAAGGCUGAUAUACUCAUAUUGUGGAAAUAUUAUUACAUAUACUACUACUUCUGAAAUAAUUUGUUAAAUUUCUUAGAUUCCUGUAUGCUUUUAAAAUGUGUUUUGCUAGAAUGGAGGGAGAUCAGUUUAAUACAAGUUCUUGGCAAUAACAUAAUACCUAACAUUUAAGCAACUUCCUUUGUCAUGUUAUAAAAAUACUACUGUUGCUUGCUGAAUAUUUGGUUUUCUGUUUAAGUAUACUCGAGAAAAUGAAACUGAAAUAUGUUGAAAUUUGCAUGUUCACAAAACAGAUGAUAUCUUACACAAUAAGAAAUAUAGGACUUCUCACUGAAAAGCAGAAAUAUAUAGAAUGUAUAGUAGACAGUUAUAUCUUGAACUUCUCCUUAGUGGUCUAGAUGAUAUUUUUGAAAUGCAUACAUUUUAGGAAGAGCACUAACAAAGAAUGUCACAAAAUGGACCAUGUUUGCCUAAUUCUUGCUGUCCUUAAUAAGUCUUCUGGUUAAGAUAACAGCAAUGUAUAACCAAAUAUAUUAAAAACAAUCAAUAAAUAUGGUGUGGUAUUAACAUAUGCAUCUAAUUCUCAAAGAAAUUAUGAAAUACUAGCAGUGACAUUUUCCCUAAAAUGUAGUAAAGCCAGGCAGAGUUAUGGGUCAUUUUCAGCCAUAGUAAUGCUGGGCAGAGAUAUGGGUAAUCUUUGAUCUUAGACAGUUUUCUGAAAGCAAUAAGUAAAAGCCCACUAUAUGGCUUUUGAUUGUUUUUAUUAAUCAGGGCAGGGUCACAGACUUAGGAGCUCUAUUACCUUUUCCCUAAUCCUGUUUUUCUUCCUGUCCAUCUGGGGUAGAUGUCAUUAAACCAAAUAAAUGGUGCUUCUGUUUGGAAUUACACCAGGAUAUAGUAGUAGAAUCCACAAAAACUUAUUUUCAAACUCAGUCCCCCUCAUGCCAAGAACACAGAUUAGCUUAUGACCAUCUCAUCUGAAGAAAACUGUUAAAAAAAUCCACAGUCCACUGUUUGUCUCUUUAUAGCUCCGUGGCUAUUUUUUUUUUUUGUAUUAAAGAACAAAUGAGGGAAUGGUAGACUUUCAGAAUGAAUAAACAAGAUAAUUUUUACCUUGUACAUAUUAUUUCUCAGAAACAAAAUAUUUUAAGAGAAGGUUUUAUUUAUUUAUAAAGUUUUAUCUUUGAAUGUUCUUUCUACUUCCUUGACUGUGCAUGACACAGCCUACUAUAGUUAUGAAAGGGAUCAAAAACUCAGAAAUCAUCAAGUAGAUAGUCUUGAUUAACUCAAAUUGGAUGCUACUGAAAUUAUAUGAAAGUUGUCUCAUUAUGUAUAAAACUCCUCUACCAGAUUUAGGGCUCUAGUUUCUAGUUAACAUCAUCAGUGGAAUAUCAAGGCACCAAGAGGGAAUAGGGCCAAAACCCAUUCAAUUAGGUUGUGAAUGACUCUUUUGUGCUUAUCAGAAUUUAAGUGAACCUCUCAACUCUUUGACAUAAAUCCACUGUUAACAUGGAAGAAACACAGCCAAAUCAAUUAUAGAAGGAAACGUCUGCCAUCUUUGCAAGUAAUAGAAUAAUAUUUUAGUGUUAUAUUAUUUUAAUACUUUGUCCUGUAAUAAUACCACACAAAAAUAAGUGAGAUUCAUUGUUCAACUUGCACUAUUUUACAAAUAAGAAUGCAUUAUAUUUAAACUCCCGUUGGAGCACAAAUUGAUGUUUAUUCAUUCCAUGGCAUUUAUGUCCUAGUAAAAAAACUAGAGUGCUUCCCUCUCCUGUCUGACAUUUUCCUUUUAAACAUUAAUUGUUUUCACUUUAAUAUCUUAUAUAAAAUAAUUGUUUGUACAUUAAAUGGCUUAGAAAUUUAUAAAUAGCUGACAGGGACCAGGGGGUGUUAUUUUCAGUAAGCUUACACAGACUGUAACUGCACAUAAAUGUUGAUUACUAUUUCUUUUACUUAUAUUAAUUAAAAUAAUGGAUGUAAUCAUAGAAAUACUUUGUUUUCAUUAAAAUGGACAGAUGAUGAAUAAUUAACCAGGUUUAUACCUUUGAAACUACACAGAUUUUAACUCUGAAAGCAGAUACUUUGAGGACUGUUUGCUUGCUGUACUAGCUAAAAUACACCCUUUCAGUUUGCAAGCAUAUUUUAUAUCUGCAAGAAUAUUCUGUCCUAAAUCAAAUGCAGAAGGCUACAGCACUUUGUGUGAGUAAUUUCACGUUAGAUUUUUGAUGUUACUCUGACAGUUCUUAAGAGUAGAUGGAGGGCCUGUGUUAUUAGUCAGGACAUGUUUGUGAAUAAAAUUAAAAAAAUAAGCCAUAGUCUUGUUUGGGUGUUUCAGAAAGGAAUAAAUCCAUUUGAUCUGUUCUUCUCAGAGGAGGCUAUCAGGCACCAUUUUUUUUCUGUUGUUCUUCUGGAGCUCACCACUAUAGAAGAUGAGUGUUUCCCAAUUAAUUUAGUCAGAAAAAUCCUCAUGGCCUAAAAGGUUUAUUUAGCUCUAUUUUACAAGUAAGAAUCUAAGAAAAAACUUCUAAAGUUAGAAAAUACUUUCUAGCAGAUCUGUGUAGCUCUGAAUUCUUGGUCUGAAGGACUGAUGGGUUUUGUUUCGUUUGGUUUGGUUUUGUGGGUUUUUUUUGUGUUUUGUUUGUUUGUUUGUUUGUUUGUUUGAUUUUAAGACUGCAUAGUAGAAGUAGAAGUUGAAAACUGUUUCCCUGGGAAGAGAACAGUUUUUGUUGGAAUAUUUUUACUGUAAAAUGCCAAUCUCUUCAAAUGAGGCAAAUCUCUAAACAGAACAGUCAUUAUACGGUAGCCUCAAACCAUUCCCAAAUCAAGUCUACCCAGUAUGUAACUGAGGAAAAUAAGAACUAAGAUAGUGGAGAAUGUAGGAGUUACUAUGGUACUUAGACUUGUGGAAAUCUGCAAUAUGGAAGAAGGUUUCAUUCUCUCUCUCUCUUUCAACAGUGCACUAGUAUGGAAGAAGACCAGGCUGAGCCUUUAGCUAAAAAGGACUGAUUUUUUAAAUGAACUGUUUUUCAGAUGAUAUAAUUAAAGGUCAGAAGACAACCUUCAUGCUUCUUUAUUUUUCUGUCUUCUAGCCUUGUUUAUACCGAGGCUGUUCAGGUCACUGUUUUGAGAUGAUGAUGCAGGAAGGUUUAUGUAUCUUUGGCAUAAUUUUGCAUAGUGGUUGUCUAAAGUUUCUGUGCUGGGAGUAUCAUCUAGAAAGGUUACUGUGACAUUUCCAAAAUUGCCUCUUGUUAAUAUGAAUGAAACGUUAUUCUCCCAUGUCAUGCAUAUAUAUAUUGUGUACAUGUAUGUGUAUAUUUAUCCAGAACACACAUGCAUAAAUGUGUGUAUAUAUGGAAUAUUGAUGUUAGAAAUAAUAUUUUCUUUAUGUUCCAUUCUGCCUUGAAUGCUUCAAUAAGGAGUAGCAAUCAAAACAAUACUUCUCAAACAUCAAAAAUUCGGAGGAAAGAGAAAUGAUGGACAACAUAGUUUUCAUUAUCCUCUGAGUUAUGAACAAGUUUCACCAACUUCUCUUACUAAAUAAAGUCUUGCUUAUGGCGGCUAAACUAACUAUAAUAUCCUUUGCUGUGACUGGUGGACUUUCAUAUAGAAUGAAAUAUUUUAAAUGACAAUUUAAAUAUAGUUACAUAUAACCUAAUGAUUUUUAGCUAUUAUGCCAGCAAUGUCUUGAAAAUAGAGCCACUAAAUUUUCUUCAAACAAAUUCUUAUUUUGAGUCUGCUUAUAUUAAAGUGGAACUGUAUUGAAGGCAACAUGACUUUGGGUGGGUAAAGGUAAAAUAAAACUUUUCUAUUGAUACCAUCUGUCAUUUUCCUGGUCUGCUUCUCCUCUGAAUACUGUUAAAGCAUUUUCUGGACAAUUAUUCCAUGAUGAUU
This is a long non-coding RNA of Columba livia (rock pigeon), 7769 nucleotides long. RefSeq lists it as uncharacterized. Lineage: Eukaryota; Metazoa; Chordata; Aves; Columbiformes; Columbidae. The record is from RefSeq and is a predicted model, not a curated record. The transcript has 5 exons.